Molecule: ribosomal RNA, 497 nt
Filed under: uncultured bacterium
Lineage: Bacteria
Description: partial 16S ribosomal RNA
Rfam family: Bacterial small subunit ribosomal RNA
Source: RNAcentral
GGGGGGGGGUGGCGGGGUGCGUGGGGCGUGGGGGUCGAGCGCACGGGCGAGGGGCUUGCUCCUCUGACGUUAGCGGCGGACGGGUGAGGAACACGUGGAUAACCUACCUAUGAGACUGGGAUAACUGCGGGAAACCGGAGCUAAUCCCGGCUAAUAUCUUGAACCGCAUGGUUCAAUAGUGAAAGACGGUUUUGCUGUCACUUAUCGAUUGCUCCCGGCCGCAUUAGCUAGUUGGUAACGUAACGGCUUACCCAGGCAACGAUGGGUUGCCGACCUGAGAGGGUGAUCGGCCACACUGGAACUUGGGCACGGUCCAGACUCCUACGGGAGGCAGCAGGAGGGGAUUCUUCGGAAGGGGGGGAAGCCCGAACGAGCAAACACGGGGGAAGGAAGGAGGGUCUCCGGUCCGAAAACCUUUGUAUUAGGGAAGAACAAAUGUGUAAGUAACUAUGCACGUCUUGACGGUACCUAAUCAGAAAGCCACGGCUAACUACGUG